Long non-coding RNA from Nerophis ophidion (straightnose pipefish), 3684 nucleotides. RefSeq lists it as uncharacterized. NCBI's taxonomy places the organism in Eukaryota, Metazoa, Chordata, Actinopteri, Syngnathiformes, Syngnathidae. The record is from RefSeq and is a predicted model, not a curated record. The transcript is spliced from 3 exons.
UUGGCUAUUUCUGGCAAUUUCUUUAAGUAGCCCUUCGCAUUAAUCAGUACCCAAGAAGUAGCUCUUGGUUUCAAAAAGGAUGGUGACCCCUGCUGUAGACACAAGUCUGUCUGCAUGAAGCCCAAUAAGUCAAUGAUUGCAUAUUCUUCUCACGUGUGGCACGUUGAGACAAGAAUAUGUUGAUGAGCUGUAAGAGUAACGUGUCUUCCCUCACUCCUUAUUUUCACUUUUGUGCAUUUUAUAUAAAAAUCGCUAUCCCAAUUUUGGGGGGAGAAUGUCAACGAGGUGCAGCCCUACAGCAGAAUAAGGUACAGGAAGCAAAGAGAAGUGGUGCUGACUCACAGCGUCUUCAAAGUUCCAUCUCUUACGGACUUCCUCCUCGUUCUUGCGGUAGACCAGGUCCCUGCGACGCAACACCUCUUCUCGGAUUCUCUGCAUCAUUUCCUCCUGAGCAGAGGCGACACCAACACCAUCAUGCUGAUGACCUCAGCUCAACUUUGAAGCAGCGAGAAGACCCUCACAGUGUCCACGCCCUCGGGUGUGGCGGGCUCGUCCUCCCCGGGGGGCCGCUCGUCGUCCUUCUCCUUGGCCUUCUCCUCCACUCGCUGGCUCUUACGGCACAGGGCCCUCACCUCCUGGUACUCCUCCUGCGAGAGCACUUCCUUGGGGGGUUGGCUGCUCACGUGUGCUUUCAACCUGAGACAAGAUGCAUCAUGGGACUUGUGACAUCGCCACAGUCCUGGAAUAUCAACACUUUCUUCAUAGACUCACAUCUCUGCUCUGCGCUACCACAACUUGGACUACUGGAGCUAGCUAGCAUAACCCGGAAUAUCCGCCUUUACUGGCUGCUAUCUCGGCCUUCUUGACCAGCCUUUCCUCCCAGAAAUACAUUUCUCAGCCAAAAAGGUUCCCGACCCGUGCGCCAGAGUCUCUGAGGGAAGUCACGGCAGCUGCAGCAGGAUAGAAGCGCCGCUGAUGUCUCCGGUAAGAGCUGACUUAUUACCACAAUCUUCUCACCGAAAACUGCCGGUUGACAUGUCGUCGGGAUCCAUGUUCGCUUGACCGCUCUGAUCCAUAGUAAAGCUUCACCUCCGGGAAUUUUAAACAAGGAAACACCGGCUGUGUUUGUGUGGCUAAAAGCUAAAAGCUUCCCACCUCCAUCUUUCUACUUUGACUUCUCCAUUAUUAAUUGAACAAAUUGCAAAAGAUUCAGCAACACAGAUGUCCAGAAUUCUGUGUAAUUAUGCCAUUAUAGCAGACUACUUACAGCUUGGAUCGGGCUGGAAAAUAAUGUCCGCUACGACCCGAGACGUCAAACGCACGCGUUAUCAUUCCGCGAUGUUUUCAACACGACACUUCGCGGGAAAUUUGAAAUUGCAAUUUAGUAAACUAAAAAGGCCGUAUUGGCAUGUGUUGCAAUGUUAAUAUUUCAUCAUUGAUAUAUAAACUAUCAGAUUGCGUGGUCGGUAGUAGUGGCUUUCAGUAGGCCUUUAACAGCACAGAAUUACAUAACAUAAAUAAAAUUAAUAAGUUAUCAUGUCUACGUAAAAUAAAUAAUAUAGCUGUGCAAAUAAUACAAAAUGUAUCAAACUCAUAAAAAAAUGCAUUUGCAUUUCCAUGACCCGCCCUAUCUUGCCUCUGAUUGGCCUGUCCCUAACCAAUGUAAACAACCAACCAAUCAUGGAGGUUUUUAUACUCUUGGAAGGAGGAAGGAGAGGGGUUUAGUAGCCCGAACAAAUAAGCAGGGUUUGGUCAUUUUAACAUGAAAUAAAUUAUAUCGAUAUUACAAUAUUUCUUUAAUUCAUAUCUUGUUAAAAAACAUAUUGAUAUAUCUUACAAACUCCAUAUAUCGCCCAGCCCUAAGUCUGACUGAUUUCCAUUUUUUUUGGUCAAGUCUGUAUUUUAUUUCCUUCUAAAAACUCGAGCAAAAAAAUGCAGUGAAAAGUAAAGAAAAAAGACACCUGAUGGAUGUUUGGCACUCUCUGCAGUUGAGUAUACAAAACAGCCACCAUAGUGCAUGUUGUGCUUGUGCUGGCACACACCUGCGCAUAUGCUGAGGUGAGUCGGGCAGGCUCAUGUCCAGGAUUCCCAGCAGCAGGUUGAUGUAGUGGAUCCACAAGUCUACACUGAGAGGGAUGGCCUGCAGACCCUGGACACACACCUGGCGACACAAACCACCUCUUGAGAGUACGCCCGUGUGGUACAAGAAGCUGGCAUCUGUGUUGUACAAACCCCGUUUCCAUAUGAGUUGGGAAAUUGUGUUAGAUGUAAAUAUAAACAGAAUACAUAUUCAGUUGAAUAUGCUACAAAGACAACAUAUUUGAUGUUCAAACCGAUAAACAUUUUUUUUGUGUGCAAAUAAUCAACUUUAGAAUUUGAUGCCAGCAACACGUGAAAAAGAAGUUGGGAAAGGUGGCAAUAAAUAAUGAUAAAGUUGAGGAAUGCUCAUCAAACACUUAUUUGGAACAUCCCACAGGUGUGCAGGCUAAUUGGGAACAGGUGGGUGCCAUGAUUGGGUAUAAAAGCAGCUUCCAUGAAAUGCUAAGUAAUUCACAAACAAGGAUGGGGUGAGGGUCACCACUUUGUAAGCAAAUUGUCGAACAGUUUUAGAACAACAUUUCUCAACGAGCUAUUGCAAGGAAUUUCGGGAUUUUACCAUCAACGGUCCGUAAAAUCAUCAAAAGGUUCAGAGAAUCUGGAAAAAUCACUGCACGUAAGCGAUGAUAUUACGGACCGUUGAUCCCUCAGGUGGUACUGCAUCAAAAACCGACACCAGUGUGUAAAGGAUAUCACCACAUGGGCUCAGGAACACUUCAUAAAACCACUGUCAGUAACUACAGUUGGUCGCUACAUCUGUAAGUGCAAGUUAAAACUCUACGAUGCAAAGCAUAACCCAUUUAUCAACAACACCCAGAAACACCGCCAGCUUUGCUGGGCCUGAACUCAUUGAUGAUGGACUGAUGCAAAGUGGAAAAGUGUUCUGUGGUCUGACGAAUCCACAUUUCAAAUUAUAUUUGGGAACUAUGGAUGUGGUGUCCUCCGGAACAAAGAGAAAACUAAACACCCGGAUUGUUAUAGGUGCAAAGUUCGGAAGCCAGCAUAUGUGAUGGUAUGGGGGUGUAUUAGUGUCCAAUGCAUGGGUAACUUACACAUCUGUGCAGGCACCAUUAAUGCUGAAUGGUCCACACAGGCUUUGGAGCAACAUAUGUUGUCACCCAAGCAACGUUAUCAUGGACGCCCCUGUUUAUUUCAGCAAGACAAUGCCAAGCCACGUGUUACAACAGCGUGGCUUCGUAGUAAAAGAGUGCAAGUAGUUUUCUGGCCUGCCUGCAGUCCAGACCUGUCUGCCAUCGAAAACGUGUGGCGCAUUAUGAAGCGUAAAAUACGACAGCGGAGACCCCGGACUGUUGAAGGACUGAAGCUCUACAUAAAACAAGAAUGGAAAAGAAUUCCACUUUCAAAGCUUCAACAUUUAGUUUCCUCAGUUCCCAAACGUUUAUUGAGUGUUGUUAAAAGAAAAGGUGAUGUAACACAGUGGUGAACAUGCCCUUUCCAGACUACUUUGGCACUUUUUGCGGCCAUGAAAUUCAAAGUAAAUUAUUAUUUGCAAAAAGACAUAAAGUUUAUGAGUUUGAACAUCAAAUAUCUUGUCUUUGUAGUGCAUUCAACUGAAUUUGGGUUGAA